GACGAACGCUGGCGGCGUGCUUAACACAUGCAAGUCGAACGGAAAGGCCCUUCGGGGUACUCGAGUGGCGAACGGGUGAGUAACACGUGGGUGAUCUGCCCUGCACUUUGGGAUAAGCCUGGGAAACUGGGUCUAAUACCGAAUAUGAUCAUCAGCUUCAUGGUUGGUGGUGGAAAGCUUUUGCGGUGUGGGAUGGGCCCGCGGCCUAUCAGCUUGUUGGUGGGGUAAUGGCCUACCAAGGCGACGACGGGUAGCCGGCCUGAGAGGGUGACCGGCCACACUGGGACUGAGAUACGGCCCAGACUCCUACGGGAGGCAGCAGUGGGGAAUAUUGCACAAUGGGCGCAAGCCUGAUGCAGCGACGCCGCGUGAGGGAUGACGGCCUUCGGGUUGUAAACCUCUUUCAGCACAGACGAAGCGCAAGUGACGGUAUGUGCAGAAGAAGGACCGGCCAACUACGUGCCAGCCGCCGCGGAAA
RNAcentral lists this ribosomal RNA (478 nucleotides) under uncultured bacterium. RNAcentral's name for it is "partial 16S ribosomal RNA". It matches the Rfam family "Bacterial small subunit ribosomal RNA", at positions 28 to 523 of the family's 1533-position model. The record is from RNAcentral.